GACCGUAUAGCUCAAGUGGUAGAGCAGUAGACUUUUAAUCUGAUGGCUGCAGGUUCAAGUCCUGCUACGGUUA
This 73-nucleotide transfer RNA is filed under the name Picobiliphyte sp. MS584-11. Its description in RNAcentral is "tRNA-Lys". It matches the Rfam family "tRNA". Rfam says of the family: Transfer RNA (tRNA) molecules are approximately 80 nucleotides in length. Lineage: Eukaryota; Picozoa. The record is from RNAcentral.